RNAcentral lists this ribosomal RNA (262 nucleotides) under Vibrio parahaemolyticus. RNAcentral's name for it is "partial 23S ribosomal RNA". It matches the Rfam family "Bacterial large subunit ribosomal RNA", at positions 22 to 286 of the family's 2925-position model. Lineage: Bacteria; Pseudomonadati; Pseudomonadota; Gammaproteobacteria; Vibrionales; Vibrionaceae. The record is from RNAcentral.
CGGUGGAUGCCUUGGCAGUCAGAGGCGAUGAAAGACGUAGUAACUUGCGAUAAGCCCAGAUUAGGUAGUAACAACCAUUUGAGUCUGGGAUUUCUGAAUGGGGAAACCCACGUGCAUAAGCACGUAUCCUUACCUGAAUACAUAGGGUAAGGAGGCGAACCGGGGGAACUGAAACAUCUAAGUACCCCGAGGAAAAGAAAUCAACCGAGAUUCCGAAAGUAGCGGCGAGCGAAAUUGGACUAGCCCUUAAGCUUUACACGCG